GAUGAACGCUGGCUGGCGUGCUUAACACAUGCAAGUCGAACGAUGAAGCUGGAGCUUGCUCCGGUGGAUUAGUGGCGAACGGGUGAGUAACACGUGAGCAAUCUGCCCAUGACUCUGGGAUAACUGCGGGAAACUGUAGCUAAUAGCGGAUACGACGCCUUGGGGCAUCCCACGGGCGUGGAAAGAAUUUCGGUCAAGGAUGAGCUCGCGGCCUAUCAGCUAGUUGGUGAGGUAAUGGCUCACCAAGGCGACGACGGGUAGCCGGCCUGAGAGGGUGACCGGCCACACUGGGACUGAGACACGGCCCAGACUCCUACGGGAGGCAGCAGUGGGGAAUAUUGCGCAAUGGGCGAAAGCCUGACGCAGCAACGCCGCGUGAGGGAUGAAGGCCUUCGGGUUGUAAACCUCUUUUAGCAGGGAAGAAGCGAAAGUGACGG
This 437-nucleotide ribosomal RNA is filed under the name uncultured Microbacteriaceae bacterium. RNAcentral's name for it is "bacterial SSU rRNA". It matches the Rfam family "Bacterial small subunit ribosomal RNA", at positions 28 to 475 of the family's 1533-position model. Lineage: Bacteria; Bacillati; Actinomycetota; Actinomycetes; Micrococcales; Microbacteriaceae. The record is from RNAcentral.